Molecule: small RNA, 521 nt
Filed under: Arabidopsis thaliana (thale cress)
Lineage: Eukaryota; Viridiplantae; Streptophyta; Magnoliopsida; Brassicales; Brassicaceae
Description: ATSL158010
Source: RNAcentral
UCCAAAUAGACUCUUCGCCACCGAUCAAUAUCCGAGGGGAAGGCUAAACUUAUACUCUAGACAAGAUAUUCUAUCCUUUAUCAGGAAGGUUUUUGAUGGGACAGAGGAAUUAGAUAUUAUUCUUCAGUCUUGCUUUGGAUCUCUAUUCCAUUUGCCGGUUAGUAGGGUUGCGACUUCGGGUAAGGUCAUUCAUGCCUUGUUAUGUAGACAGUUGCUUACUGUAACGCCCGUGAACCAGAAAAUCGGUUAGGGUUUGUUUUUAAAUCAUCCGGUUUAAUUGGUUGGGUUAAUUGGAAACCCUAGAGUGUGCCUAUAAAAGAAGAAAACUCGAAAUUAGGGCUUUAGUUAGCCACUUUUCGUUUUAUAAAGGAGAAAAAGAGAGAAAGGGAGAAGGAGCAGAAUCGUUAGGGUUUGGGAGAAACCAGUUUCGUCUUAUCAAAUCGUGGUAAAAGGUAACGAAAUUUGGUAGAGUUAUUCCCAAGUCGUUUAUCGUUAUUCUCCAGUUUACAGAACUGGAUUUG